AGCAGUUUGAUUGCAACAGAGUUAAGACAGGUGCUGAGAAGGUAGCUCUAAGGGCCAUUAGUAUACAAGUGAAAGUUGAUUCUGUAUUUGUGGAUUGUUUGGGAGCAAUGUAAACAUCAGAUCCAAGGAAGAACUUCCAAGUGGACAGAGCUCUGUGGGUGGCUUGUGCACAUUUUAUCGGACUGGCUUCAGGGAUUUCUGUAACCUGCAGUACUUUCACAGCUUUUCCACUAUUUGCUGAAAGCUGAGCCAGAAGAACUUGUCACUGCCAGGAUACAUUGGCAUAUAUCAGCAUCCCUGGUGUUGUGCAUCCAGACGAGCACCGGUUUUCUGCAGCUCACCCUCUCGGGAUCGCCAGAGGAGGCCACACCCACCAGCCUGGUCUGAGGACAGCAAUUGGUUCUGUGCAGUCUCCACAGUCCAGACGAACAUCCAGCAGUGUGGUAGAAGCAACAUGUCCACAAUGGCUGCAGUGAAGGGAUCCAACCAGGAAGACAUGCCCUCUUCCACCUAUGAGCAUGAAUGCCUCAGAGGAAGCGUUCUUCUGCACCCUCACCAGCUCAGUUCCUGGCACCUUGGAAUGGCACAUCUUGCUAGUUUGGGAGCACAAGCUCAUUCUUAUAAAUGCACAAACUCACUCUUGAUAAGUGCACAAACAGACACAGGAACGACAGGCAGAUUGUGUUGGAGGCAUGAGAGAAACUAACGCAAAGACUGCACCAUUGCAGCAAUGCCAUGGUGACCCUGCUGCUUCAGGAGUAUGAUAGCCUGUCUGUCAUCAUGGAUGGGUUAGCAGUUGCCAUGGACAGCCAGAUACAACACUCCGAGUCUGCUGGAUACGCAAAUUUGUCUGGCCUCUAUCACCUAGCCACUGGGUCUCAGCACCAAAUACAAAAUGACAGGGAUGAGGGACACUGAGCUCAUUCCAGAUCCCCUCCCUCACAAGAAGACAGGGUGGUGCUAGUAGGCACCCACGAAGAUACAUUCAUCAUGUCUAGACUCUCUAGACAAAGAUGCCACCAGGGUUGCCCGAGCAAACCUCCAAGGUCAAUAUCUCCUACUGAAGGCCAGGCACUCGCCACCCCAGCUGUGGAGCUUGGGUCUCCAUGGAGACAUAGUCUGGGGUGU
This is a long non-coding RNA of Rhincodon typus (whale shark), 1128 nucleotides long. RefSeq lists it as uncharacterized. The record is from RefSeq and is a predicted model, not a curated record. The transcript has 4 exons. Lineage: Eukaryota; Metazoa; Chordata; Chondrichthyes; Orectolobiformes; Rhincodontidae.